AGCUACCACUUGCAGAUGGACCCGCGGCGCAUUAGCUAGUUGGUGAGGUAACGGCUCACCAAGGCGACGAUGCGUAGCCGACCUGAGAGGGUGAUCGGCCACACUGGGACUGAGACACGGCCCAGACUCCUACGGGAGGCAGCAGUAGGGAAUCUUCCGCAAUGGACGAAAGUCUGACGGAGCAACGCCGCGUGAGUGAUGAAGGUUUUCGGAUCGUAAAACUCUGUUGUUAGGGAAGAACAAGUACCGUUCGAAUAGGGCGGUACCUUGACGGUACCUAACCAGAAAGCCACGGCUAACUACGUGCCAGCAGCCGCGGUAAUACGUAGGUGGCAAGCGUUGUCCGGAAUUAUUGGGCGUAAAGCGCGCGCAGGCGGUUUCUUAAGUCUGAUGUGAAAGCCCCCGGCUCAACCGGGGAGGGUCAUUGGAAACUGGGGAACUUGAGUGCAGAAGAAGAGAGUGGAAUUCCACGUGUAGCGGUGAAAUGCGUAAAGAUGUGGAGGAACACCAGUGGCGAA
This 518-nucleotide ribosomal RNA is filed under the name Bacillus licheniformis. Its description in RNAcentral is "bacterial SSU rRNA". It matches the Rfam family "Bacterial small subunit ribosomal RNA", at positions 210 to 719 of the family's 1533-position model. Lineage: Bacteria; Bacillati; Bacillota; Bacilli; Caryophanales; Bacillaceae. The record is from RNAcentral.